Molecule: ribosomal RNA, 657 nt
Filed under: uncultured Pseudomonas sp.
Lineage: Bacteria; Pseudomonadati; Pseudomonadota; Gammaproteobacteria; Pseudomonadales; Pseudomonadaceae
Description: bacterial SSU rRNA
Rfam family: Bacterial small subunit ribosomal RNA
Source: RNAcentral
AUUGAACGCUGGCGGCAGGCUUAACACAUGCAAGUCGAGCGGUAACAGAGAGUAGUUUACUACUCUGCUGACGAGCGGCGGACGGGUGAGUAAUGCCUAGGAAUCUGCCUAGUAGUGGGGGAUAACUUGCCGAAAGGUAAGCUAAUACCGCAUACGUCCUACGGGAGAAAGCAGGGGACCUUCGGGCCUUGCGCUAUUAGAUGAGCCUAGGUCGGAUUAGUUAGUUGGUGAGGUAAUGGCUCACCAAGACCGCGAUCCGUAACUGGUCUGAGAGGAUGAUCAGUCACACUGGAACUGAGACACGGUCCAGACUCCUACGGGAGGCAGCAGUGGGGAAUAUUGGACAAUGGGGGCAACCCUGAUCCAGCCAUGCCGCGUGUGUGAAGAAGGUCUUAGGAUUGUAAAGCACUUUAAGUUGGGAGGAAGAGCAGUUAACUAAUACUUGACUGUUUUGACGUUACCGACAGAAUAAGCACCGGCUAACUUCGUGCCAGCAGCCGCGGUAAUACGAAGGGUGCAAGCGUUAAUCGGAAUUACUGGGCGUAAAGCGCGCGUAGGUGGUUCGUUAAGUUAGGAGUGAAAGCCCCGGGCUCAACCUGGGAAUUGCUUCUAAAACUGGCGGACUAGAGUAUGGUAGAGGGUGGUGGAAUUUCCUGU